RNAcentral lists this ribosomal RNA (499 nucleotides) under uncultured bacterium. RNAcentral's name for it is "partial 16S ribosomal RNA". It matches the Rfam family "Bacterial small subunit ribosomal RNA", at positions 28 to 507 of the family's 1533-position model. The record is from RNAcentral.
GAUGAACGCUGGCGGCGUGCCUAAUACAUGCAAGUCGAGCGAACAGACGAGAGUGCUUGCACUCUCUGACGUUAGCGGCGGACGGGUGAGUAACACGUGGGUAACCUACCUAUAAGACUGGGAUAACUUCGGGAAACCGGAGCUAAUACCGGAUAAUAUUUAGCUUCGCAUGAAGCAAUAGUGAAAGACGGUUCUGCUGUCACUUAUAGAUGGACCCGCGGUGUAUUAGCUAGUUGGUGAGGUAACGGCUCACCAAGGCAACGAUACAUAGCCGACCUGAGAGGGUGAUCGGCCACACUGGGACUGAGACACGGCCCAGACUCCUACGGGAGGCAGCAGUAGGGAAUCUUCCGCAAUGGACGAAAGUCUAACGGAGCAAUGCCGCGUGAGUGAAGAAGGUUUUCGGAUCGUAAAACUCUGUUGUAAGGGAAGAACAAGUACGUUAGUAACUGAACGUACCUUGACGGUACCUUACCAGAAAGCCACGGCUAACUACGUG